AUUGAACGCUGGCGGCAUGCUUUACACAUGCAAGUCGAACGGUAACAGGCCGCAAGGUGCUGACGAGUGGCGAACGGGUGAGUAAUGCAUCGGAACGUGCCCAGUCGUGGGGGAUAACGCAGCGAAAGCUGCGCUAAUACCGCAUACGAUCUAUGGAUGAAAGCGGGGGACCGUAAGGCCUCGCGCGAUUGGAGCGGCCGAUGUCAGAUUAGGUAGUUGGUGGGGUAAAGGCUCACCAAGCCAACGAUCUGUAGCUGGUCUGAGAGGACGACCAGCCACACUGGGACUGAGACACGGCCCAGACUCCUACGGGAGGCAGCAGUGGGGAAUUUUGGACAAUGGGCGCAAGCCUGAUCCAGCAAUGCCGCGUGCAGGAAGAAGGCCUUCGGGUUGUAAACUGCUUUUGUACGGAACGAAACGGUCCUGGUUAAUACCCGGGGCUAAUGACGGUACCGUAAGAAUAAGCACCGGCUAACUACGUGCCAGCCGCCGCCGUAA
Molecule: ribosomal RNA, 498 nt
Filed under: uncultured bacterium
Lineage: Bacteria
Description: partial 16S ribosomal RNA
Rfam family: Bacterial small subunit ribosomal RNA
Source: RNAcentral